RNAcentral lists this ribosomal RNA (561 nucleotides) under Triticum aestivum (bread wheat). RNAcentral's name for it is "partial small subunit ribosomal RNA". Lineage: Eukaryota; Viridiplantae; Streptophyta; Magnoliopsida; Poales; Poaceae. The record is from RNAcentral.
UUCGCCCUCGUCUACUACACCGCCGGCAUCUCCGGCAGGCACAUCAACCCGGCAGUGACCUUCGGGCUGUUCCUGGCGAGGAAGCUGUCGCUGACUCGGGCGGUGUUCUACAUCAUCAUGUAGUGCCUGGGCGCCAUCUGCGGCGCCGGCGUGGUGAAGGGGUUCCAGCAGGGCCUGAACAUGGGCAACGGCGGCGGCGCCAACGUGGUGGCGCCCAGCUACACCAAGGGCUCCGGCCUCGGCGCUGUGAUCAUCGGCACCCUCGUCUACACUGUCUUCUCCGCCACCGACGCCAAGAGGAACGCCAGGGACUCCCACGUUCCCAUCCUUGCCCCGUCGCCAAUCGGGUUCGCGGUGUUCCUGGUCCACCUGGCCACCAUCCCCAUCACCGGCACCGACAUCAACCCGGCGAGGAGCCUCGGCGCGGCUAUCAUCUACAACAGGGAGCACGCCUGGUCAGACCACUGGAUCUUAUGGGUCGGCCCCUUCAUCGGCACCACGCUGGCCGCCGUCUACCAGCAGGUGGUCAUCAGAGCGAUCCCAUUCAAGACCAAGUCCUAA